GACGAACGCUGGCGGCGUGCCUAAUACAUGCCAGUCGAGCGAACAGCUCCGGAGCUUGCUCGUCUGACGUUACCGGCGGACGGGUGAUUAACACGUGGAUAACCCAUCUAUAAGACUGAGAUAACUUCGGGAAGCCGGAGCUAAUACCAGUAAAUAUAUUGAACCGCAGGGUUCAAUAGUGAAAGAUGGUUUUGCUGUCACUUAUAGAUGGAUCCCCGCCGCAUUAGCUAGUUGGUACGGUAACGGCUUACCAAGGCAACGAUGCGUAGCCGACCUGAGGGGGUGAACGGCCACACUGGAACUGAGACACGGCCCAGACUCCUAGGGGAGGCAGCAGUAGGGAAUCGUCCGCAAUGGGCGAAAGCCUGACGGAGCAACGCCGCGUGAGUGAUGAAGGUCUUCGGAUCGUAAAACUCUGUUAGUAGGGAAGAACAAAUGUGUAAGUAACUAUGCACGUCUUGACGGUACCUGAACAAAAAGCCACGGCUAACUACGUG
This 497-nucleotide ribosomal RNA is filed under the name uncultured bacterium. RNAcentral describes it as "partial 16S ribosomal RNA". It matches the Rfam family "Bacterial small subunit ribosomal RNA", at positions 28 to 507 of the family's 1533-position model. The record is from RNAcentral.